RNAcentral lists this long non-coding RNA (199 nucleotides) under Ananas comosus (pineapple). RNAcentral's name for it is "long non-coding RNA (ACOM_LNC035765)". Lineage: Eukaryota; Viridiplantae; Streptophyta; Magnoliopsida; Poales; Bromeliaceae. The record is from RNAcentral.
CGAAAUUUUUCGAAAAAAUAAACAUGAACGCGAUGAAACGAUUAAAUCCAAGUGAAAUACUCACAGAUUUUUGGGGAAAAACGUGUAGAUCUGGAAGAGGAAAGCACCAGAAAUUUUUAGAGAGAGAAGAGCGAAAUUUGGUUUAGAUUAGAGUGAGAAAUAAAACUCUGUAACCGGUUAUAUUUCCGCGGCUAUAGUG